Molecule: ribosomal RNA, 253 nt
Filed under: uncultured bacterium
Lineage: Bacteria
Description: partial 16S ribosomal RNA
Rfam family: Bacterial small subunit ribosomal RNA
Source: RNAcentral
CACGUAGGGCGCAAGCGUUGUCCGGAAUUAUUGGGCGUAAAGAGCUCGUAGGCGGACUGUCACGUCUGCUGUGAAAAGCUAGGGCUUAACCCUGGCCUUGCAGUGGAUACGGGCAGACUAGAGGUAGGUAGGGGAGAAUGGAAUUCCCGGUGUAGCGGUGAAAUGCGCAGAUAUCGGGAGGAACACCGGUGGCGAAGGCGGGUCUCUGGGCAGUAACUGACGCUGAGGAGCGAAAGCGUGGGGAGCGAACAGG